UUUUCCACUUGCUCCGACAGGUAUUGCCCUAGUAGCGGCGAGUGAAGCGGCAGCAGCUCAAAUUUGAAAUCUGGCUCCCCCCCGCGGGGUGCCCGAGUUGUAAUUUGCAGAGGAUGCCUCUGGCGCGGCGCCUUCCGAGUUCCCUGGAACGGGACGCCAUAGAGGGUGAGAGUCCCGUAUGUUCGCAGGCCAGGCCUUCUGUUGAGGCUCCUUUCGAACGAGUCGAGUAGUUUGGGAAAUGCUGCUCCAAAAUGGGAGGUUAUUUUCUUCUAAGGCUAAAUACCGUCCAGCAGACCGAUAGCGCACAAGUAGAGUGAUCGAAAGAUGAAAAGCACUUUGAAAAGAGGGUUUAAACAGUACGUGAAAUUGUUGAAAGGGAAGCGCUCGCGACCAGACUCGGGCCCGGCGGAUCAUCCGGCGUUCUUCGCCGGUGCACUCCGCCGGCGCCCGGGCCCAGCAUCGGCUCGGCCGCGGGGGAUAAAGGCGGCGGGAACGUGGCCCCUCCGGGGGUGUUAUAGCCCGCCGCGCAAUGCCCCGCGCCGGGCCGAGGACCGCGCCCCAGGGCAAGGAUGCUGGCGUAAUGGUCGCUAGCGACCCGUCUUGAAACACGGACCAAGGAGUCGUCUUCGUAUGCGAGUGUUCGGGUGUCAAACCCCUACGCGCAAUGAAAGUGAACGCGGGUGAGAGCCCUCGCGGGCGCAUCACCGACCGAUCCUGAUGUUCUCGGAUGGAUUUGAGUAAGAGCAUACGGGGCCGGACCCGAAAGAAGGUGAACUAUGCCUGUGUAGGGUGAAGCCAGAGGAAACUCUGGUGGAGGCUCGCAGCGGUUCUGACGUGCAAAUCGAUCGUCAAACAUGGGCAUGGGGGCGAAAGACUAAUCGAACCUUCUAGUAGCUGGUUCCCGCCGAAGUUUCCCUCAGGAUAGCAGUGCCGAUCUCAGUUUUAUGAGGUAAAGCGAAUGAUUAGGGACCCGGGGGCGCUCAUUAGCCUUCAUCCAUUCUCAAACUUUAAAUAUGUAAGAAGCCCUUGUUACUUGACUGAACGUGGGCAUUCGAAUGUAGCGGCACUAGUGGGCCAUUUUUGGUAAGCAGAACUGGCGAUGCGGGAUGAACCGAACGCGAGGUUAAGGUGCCGGAGUGGACGCUCAUCAGACACCACAAAAGGCGUUAGUACAUCUUGACAGCAGGACGGUGGCCAUGGAAGUCGGAAUCCGCUAAGGACUGUGUAACAACUCACCUGCCGAAUGUACUAGCCCUGAAAAUGGAUGGCGCUCUAGCGUCCCACCCAUACCUCGCCCCCGGCUACAAGCGAUGCCCCGGGGAGUAGGCGGGCGCGCGUGUCGUGACGAAGCCCAGGCGAGAGCCCGUCUGGUGGUGUUAAU
Molecule: ribosomal RNA, 1381 nt
Filed under: Ophiocordyceps longissima
Lineage: Eukaryota; Fungi; Ascomycota; Sordariomycetes; Hypocreales; Ophiocordycipitaceae
Description: eukaryotic LSU rRNA
Rfam family: Eukaryotic large subunit ribosomal RNA
Source: RNAcentral